UAUGUAUACCACAAAGAUUAUGGAACAUUUUUGAAGUGACUAGCGAGGUACCGUGAGAGAGAGGAUCUUUAUUUUAGUGUUAUAAUAAUAAUCUUGAUUUGAAGUUGUAUAUGUUUUUAAGUCGUGUUAUUUAUAUAAAAAGUGAAAUAAAAAUUAAAAAAAUUAAUAAUUUUGAUUGAAAAACCAGAUAUUAUUGUUAUGUGUGUUUAGUGAUAUAUUGUGAUAAUUAAUAUUGAUUGUGUUUUUUCUGUUGAUUAAUCAAAUAAUAUUAAUAAUCAUGACAUUGAAAUAGAUUUAUUAUGCAAUUGAAAAUAUUGUAUCUUCUUCGAAAGUGAAACAGUUCAAAUAAAUUCAGCACAUUACAAUAAUAAUGGCAUUGGGUAAUGGAAAUGGUGCAACAUCAGCGGUAAAUGGUGAUAUCAAAAAUACUACAGUGAAUGAAAAGACUUUGAUUAAUAAUACAGGAACUACCGCGGAAGUUGAACAAGCUUAUAAAACUUCAAGACAGACAGAUCCAAGCACAUCAUUUCUACGAGCAGCAAGAUCUGGACAACUAGAAACAAUACAAGAAUUUUUAGAUUUAGGAACAAUCAAGGAUAUUAAUGUUUCAAAUGCUAAUGGUUUAAAUGCUCUUCAUUUAGCAGCAAAAGAGGGUCAUACUGAUGUGGUGCUAGAAUUAAUUCGACGGGGUGCAGUUGUAGAUGCAGCUACUAAGAAAGGCAACACAGCUUUACACAUUGCAUGCUUAGCUGGACAAGAAGAAAUUGUACGAAUAUUAGUUCAAAAUGGUGCUGCUAUUAAUGUACAAUCACAAAAUGGUUUUUCACCAUUAUAUAUGGCAGCUCAAGAAAAUCAUGACGGCUGUGUUAAAUAUUUAUUAUCGAAAGGUGCUAAUCAAACUCUUGCAACAGAAGAUGGAUUUACUCCAUUGGCGGUAGCAAUGCAACAAGGACAUGAAAAAGUCGUUGCUGUACUAUUAGAACAUGAUACUCGUGGCAAAGUUCGAUUACCAGCUCUACAUAUUGCUGCAAAAAAGGAUGAUAUCAAAGCUGCAGCUUUAUUAUUGCAAAAUAAUCAAAAUCCAGAUGUAACAUCAAAAAGUGGUUUUACACCAUUACAUAUUGCUGCUCAUUAUGGCAAUGAUAAUGUCGCAAAAUUACUUCAUGAGAAAGGUGCUGAUGUUAAUUUUGCUGCAAAACAUAAUAUUACACCUUUACAUGUUGCGUCAAAAUGGGGAAAAGUCAGUAUGGUAAUGUUACUUAUUGAAAAAGGAGCAAAUAUUGAAGCACAAACACGAGAUGGGUUAACGCCGUUGCAUUGUGCUGCAAGAUCGGGUCAUGAACAAGUCUGUGAUAUUCUUGCUGAUAAAGGAGCGUCUCUAAAUUCUAAAACAAAGAAUGGUUUAGCUCCGUUACAUAUGGCAGCCCAAGGAGAUCAUGCGGAAGCAGCCCGUAGUCUUUUACGACGUGGUGCGCCCGUGGAUGAUGUUACGGUGGAUUAUUUAACUCCGCUUCAUGUCGCAUCACAUUGUGGUCAUGUCCGUGUUGCAAGACUAUUAUUGGAUAAGAAAGCCCAUGCUGAUGCGCGUGCUUUAAAUGGUUUUACGCCUUUGCAUAUUGCAUGCAAAAAGAAUCGAAUUAAAAUUGUAGAAUUAUUAUUGAAAUAUGGUGCAAGUAUCAGUGCUACAACAGAAAGCGGUUUAACUCCAUUACAUGUUGCAAGUUUUAUGGGUUGCAUGAACAUUGUUAUUUAUUUAUUACAACAUGAUGCUAGUCCAGAUGUUCAUACAGUUCGUGGUGAAACGCCCUUACACCUUGCUGCUCGUGCCAACCAGACUGAUAUUAUUAGAAUUUUAUUACGAAACGGUGCUUCUGUGGAUGCUAAAGCUCGUGAACAACAAACACCUCUUCAUGUCGCAUGUAGAUUAGGAAAUGCUGACAUCGUUCUUUUACUGUUACAACAUGGUGCCCAACAUGAUGCAGUUACGUCAGAUAUGUAUACACCAUUACAUAUUGCAGCAAAAGAAGGAAAGGAAGAAGUUUCUCAAUUACUUUUGGAAAAUGGUGCAUCAAUCACUGCCACCACAAAAAAAGGUUUCACACCGUUACAUAUUGCAGCCAAAUAUGGUCAAUUAAAUAUUGCCAAACGUAUUAUUGAUAGUUGUACAGCAAGAAAUAAUAAUAAUAAAAAUGAUGAAAUUUCGGAAAAAAGUUUAAUCGAAAAUCAACUAAAAUCAAAGGAAAUAAUAGAUGCAGCUGCAAGAAAUGGUGUUACUCCACUUCAUGUUGCCGCACAUUAUAAUAGUCAACCAAUAGCACAACUUUUACUUGAAAAUGGGGCAUCGCCACAAGCUGUUGCUCGAAAUGGACAUACUCCAUUGCACAUCGCAGCCAAAAAGAAUCAAAUGGAUAUUGCUGCUCUUCUGUUAGAACACAAAACAGCCGCAAAUGCAGAAUCUAAAGCCGGCUUUACACCAUUGCAUUUAAGUGCACAAGAAGGUCAUACUGAAAUGACACAACUAUUAAUUGAAAAUUCCGCGAAUAUUGAUCACGCAGCUAAGAAUGGUUUAACUCCAUUACAUUUGGCUGCACAAUACGAUCGAUAUCAAGUUGCAAAAAUUCUACUUGAUCAUGGUGCCAAUUCAAAUUCAACAACGAAAACUGGUUAUACACCAUUGCAUGUGGCCAGUCAUUAUGGCAACGCUAAUAUUGUUAAAUUACUCCUUGAAAAUGGAGCAAAUGUGGGAUCAGCGACUGAAUUAGGUUAUACUCCAUUGCAUCAAGCCGCACAACAAGGGCACACUCUUAUCAUAAAUAUUCUCCUUAAAAGUAAAGCAGAUCCUAAUGCUCAAACCAAAAAUGGACAAACAGCAUUAAGUAUUGCAAACAAAUUAGGUUAUGUAACUGUUGUGGAAACACUUAAAGUUGUAACAACAGAAACGAUUAUAACGACAACAAUAAGUUCAACAUUUGAAGAGAAAUAUAGAGUGGUUGCACCUGAAGCAAUGCAUGAUACAUUUUUAUCAGAUUCAGAGGAUGAAGGGGUAGAAGAUCCAAUGUUGAGUGACACUCAACAAUAUCGGUAUAUGACAGUAGAUAACAUGAAAUCGUUAGGAGAUGAUUCAAUGCCCAUUGAUGUUACAAACGAUGAAAGACAUGAGAACAAAUUGUUUUCAGGUGGUCCUAUGAAUGGUGACAUUGUUAUUCAUUCUAUUCGAGAAUCUGUUCUUACAAGUGGAGUACCCCCUACACAAGUCGAUAAUGUAAACAUUACUCGACCACCUAUUCAUGCUGGUUUUCUCGUAUCAUUUCUUGUUGAUGCACGAGGCGGAGCUAUGCGUGGAUGUAGACAUAGUGGAGUACGUGUAAUAGUUCCUCCUAGAGCUGCAUCAAGUCCAAUUCGAAUUACUUGUAGAUAUGUUCGUAUACAUAGGCCAAAUGUUCUAAGUUCAAAUACUAUUACUAAUUCUGCGCCACCUACUUUACCAUUAGGAGAGGGAGAAGCAUUAGCUAGCAGAAUUUUAGAAUUGGGACCAGUUGGUGUUAAAUUCCUCGGGCCUGUUAUAUUAGAAGUGCCCCAUUUCGCCUCAUUACGUGGUGAUGAACGAGAAAUAGUAGUUUGGAGAUCGGAUACUGGAGAAUCUUGGCGUGAACAUUCUCUUGAUGCAAGUAAUGAAGCAGUACAAGAUGUUUUACAAGAUAGUUUCCAAGGAGAAGAAUUAUUACAAAUUGAAGAUUUACACACAUCACGAAUAGUACGAAUAUUAACAAACGAAUUACCACGAUACUUAGCUGUAGUUCAACGUUGUCGACAAGACGGGGGUAUUAUUGGUCCUGAAGGUGGUAUUUUAUCCUGUAGAGCUGUACCACAAGCGCAAGCAGUAUUCCCACCAAAUGCUUUAACAAAACGUAUUCGUGUUGCGCUUCAGGCACAACCAAUGGAUCCUACAUUAGUUCAUAAAGUAUUAGGACGUAGUGGUAUUGCAGUUUCACCCAUUUUAACAAUUGAACCAAGGCGUAGAAAAUUCCAUCGUGCUAUUACACUCGGUUUACCUGCACCUAAAGCACAAUCAAUGGGCAUGAUUAAUCAAUAUCAAUCUAGCGGUGCCCCUACACUAAGGCUUUUAUGUUCAAUUACAGGAGGACAAAGUCGGGCUGUUUGGGAAGACGUAACUGGUUCCACACCUUUAUCAUUCGUAAAAGAUUGUGUUACAUUUACAACAACAGUGUCGGCACGAUUUUGGUUAAUGGAUUGUAGAAAUGCAUCUGAAACAACACAACUAGCAACUGAAUUAUAUAAUGAAGUUUGUAGACCACCAUUUAUGGCGAAAUUUGUUGUAUUUGCUAAACGAACGGGAUUACUUGAAGCAAGUUUAAGGGUCUUUUGUAUGACAGAUGAUAAAGAAGAUAAAACUUUAGAAUCUCAAGAGCAUUUUAUUGAAGUAGCGAAAAGUAAAGAUGUGGAAGUUUUAGAAGGUAAAGCCAUUUAUAUUGAAUGUGCUGGAAAUUUAAUUCCAAUUAUUAAAUCCGGCGAACAAUUAUGUAUGAACUUUAAUGGUUUCCAAGAAAAUCGACUGGCUUUCGAAAUGAGAAUUCGUAAUCCAGAUGAAGAUCCUGUUGGUCGUAUUAUUUUUAUGAACAAUCCAAAAGUGCCAAAAGGGGAACAACCACAACCUCCAUUAUGCACUUUAAAUGUUACGCUGCCAAAUACAUACGAGGAUGGUAGUGAUUAUGGUAGCCAGAAAGGAGAAAUAGGUAAUUUCGUUAAUUCUAAAAAAAAAUUUUUUAAUUUUCUAUUUCUAAAAAACUUUAAUUCUUUAAAUUAUUUAUUAGGUGAUAUGAUUCAUCGUGGUUACAUAAAUUUGGAAUCAAUGAGCCGAUUAUUACAGGCAGAUUGGCCUAAGUUAGCUACUGAAAUAGAUCAUCCAAUUUCUCCUGUCGAUAUUGAAUUAAUCAAAUCCGAAUAUUCAGAUUCAGUGCAGCAAGCUUUAAUCAUGUUGAAAUUAUGGCUUAAGCAAGUUGGACCAUUAGGAACAGGAAAUGUUUUGGCAUCAGCUCUACAUAAAAUUGGUAGAUCCGAUAUUGUGGAACAGUGUAUCGAUAAAGUAGAACUUGUGACCGAUAACAAAGAAAUUGUUGCCGCACAAAAUGUUUUGGAAAAAACAAAUUUAGAUGAAUCUUUAACAACUGAUAAAGAUCAAUCAAUAUCUGAACAUACAAAUACUCACGAUAGCAAAAUAUGGGACCAUACAUUAGACAAAUCAGGUUUUGAUGCAUUAAAAGAUGAUAUAGGUUCUUCAGGUAGUUUAGCAAUAAAAGACGACGAAAAAAAUAUUCUAGAUGUAGAUACAGUUUCUUCGAAAAUUUCCAAUACCGAUAAAGAUCAUUCUGAAAAAGAUGAUGCUCAACUAGAUAUCAGUAACAGUAGUAAUACUGUGUUAGAUGUAACGAAUAAUAACGAAAAACCAUUAAAAUCAAUAUUAAAAAAUAGCGAUAACGUAAAAGAUACAACUAAAAUUAUUAUUAAAGACAAUAUUACUCAUAAAGAAGCCUUAGAUUUUUUAGCUGAACAGUUUAAUAAUUUAGAUACUUCAAAUUCAAUGAAUUUACAAACCCCGCCACCUAGUCCUGCUGCCGAUAAUAAAGAAAGUGAAAAUAAUUUAGAAAAUCAAAGUUAUGAUAUUACGUGGGACAUGGGUGAAACAACAUUAGGAGAUUUAUCAUCGAAUUUAAUAGACGCAGAAAAAAUAUCUUCAAAAACAUCAUCUACUAGUCAUCCAGCAUCACCUCACAAAAUAAAAACAAUUAAAAAACACACAAAAUUAUCAAAAGAAUUCCAAAAAACUGCUGGUGCACGACCAACUGUUGAAGAAAUAUUUUCGAAUGCAAAAGAAAUCGAUCCAAAUUUAGAAGAAGCUUUAAAAAGAGAUGCAAAUAAUGUAAAAGUAAUUGUAAAUAAAAAGACAGUUGAUAAAAAAGAAUCAAAAAAACAAAAUAGUAAAAUACCAGUUUCUAUAAAUACAAUAAAAACGACAACGGAAAAAGAAGUAGUUGUGGAAUAUAACUCUGAUACGGACAGUCAACAAUCACCGUUGAGGUAUCAAGAUCAAAAUGAACAACAAAUGUUAGGAUCAUCUAGUGAAUCUGAUGUUGCUUUACAUGAAGGUCAAAGUGAUGAUGAUGUGAUUGUGCAGAAGCAUGGGCCCUAUACAGCAUGGUUGGCCAUCUCACUGUGUGUGCUGAUGUUCGCUCUUUUUCCCGUUCUACGUUCACUUAUUAUAUGAAACACCCAAACAAGGAUCAAGUAGAUCAACAAACAUUUGCAGAAAGCUAUGAAGAAAUCCAUAUAUCUGGUGAUAAAAAGUCGAGAAGUAAUCAAGGCAGUUCGGAUUUAAUUACAUCACCUGGGUCAUCGGAUGGUUUAAAAGGUGGC
Molecule: RNA transcript, 6432 nt
Organism: Chrysoperla carnea
Lineage: Eukaryota; Metazoa; Arthropoda; Insecta; Neuroptera; Chrysopidae
Gene name: ankyrin-3-like
Exons: 27
Source: RefSeq, a predicted model, not a curated record